AACGAACGCUGGCGGCAUGCCUAACACAUGCAAGUCGAACGAGACCUUCGGGCCUAGUGGCGCACGGGGGCGUAACGCGUGGGAACCUGCCCUUAGGUUCGGAAUAACUCCCCGAAAGGGGUGCUAAUACCGGAUAAUGUCUUCGGACCAAAGAUUUAUCGCCUUUGGAUGGGCCCGCGUUGGAUUAGCUAGUUGGUAGGGUAAAAGCCUACCAAGGCGACGAUCCAUAGCUGGUCUGAGAGGAUGAUCAGCCACACUGGAACUGAGACACGGCCCAGACUCGUACGGGAGGGAGCAGUGGAGAAUAUUGGACGAUGGAGGAAAGCCUGAUCCAGCAAUGCCGCGUGAGUGAUGAAGGCCUUAGGGUUGUAAAGCUCUUUUAGCCGGGAUGAUAAUGACAGUACCGGGAGAAUAAGCUCCGGCUAACUACGUG
RNAcentral lists this ribosomal RNA (433 nucleotides) under uncultured bacterium. Its description in RNAcentral is "partial 16S ribosomal RNA". It matches the Rfam family "Bacterial small subunit ribosomal RNA", at positions 29 to 507 of the family's 1533-position model. The record is from RNAcentral.